Molecule: ribosomal RNA, 209 nt
Filed under: uncultured eukaryote
Lineage: Eukaryota
Description: partial 18S ribosomal RNA
Rfam family: Eukaryotic small subunit ribosomal RNA
Source: RNAcentral
UGGUGGAGUGAUUUGUCUGGUUAAUUCCGUUAACGAGCGAGACCAAUACUUACUAAAUAAAGAGGACAACCGUCUAACAUGCCAUGAAGUGGCGCCGGCGGGUCGGCUUAACGGCUAGCCCCUGGCACCGUGGAUUGGUUGAUGCGUUGUUUCGACUUUUCUUAGGAGGACUGCUGCCUUCAAGGCAGAGGAAGUUAUUGGCAAUAACA